This 801-nucleotide ribosomal RNA is filed under the name uncultured bacterium. Its description in RNAcentral is "bacterial SSU rRNA". It matches the Rfam family "Bacterial small subunit ribosomal RNA", at positions 82 to 869 of the family's 1533-position model. The record is from RNAcentral.
CUCCUCUGAUUCAGCGGCGGACGGGUGAGUAACACGUGGGCAACCUGCCUGUAAGACUGGGAUAACUUCGGGAAACCGGAGCUAAUACCGGAUAACUCAUGAGACCUCAUGGUCUUAUGAUAAAAGAUGGUUUCGGCUAUCACUUACAGAUGGGCCCGCGGCGCAUUAGCUAGUUGGUGAGGUAACGGCUCACCAAGGCGACGAUGCGUAGCCGACCUGAGAGGGUGAUCGGCCACACUGGGACUGAGACACGGCCCAGACUCCUACGGGAGGCAGCAGUAGGGAAUCUUCCGCAAUGGACGAAAGUCUGACGGAGCAACGCCGCGUGAGCGAUGAAGGCCUUCGGGUCGUAAAGCUCUGUUGUUAGGGAAGAACAAGUAUCAGUUAACUGCUGGUACCUUGACGGUACCUAACGAGAAAGCCACGGCUAACUACGUGCCAGCAGCCGCGGUAAUACGUAGGUGGCAAGCGUUGUCCGGAUUUAUUGGGCGUAAAGCGCGCGCAGGCGGUUCUUUAAGCCUGAUGUGAAAGCCCCCGGCUCAACCGGGGAGGGUCAUUGGAAACUGGGGAACUUGAGUGCAGAAGAGAAGAGCGGAAUUCCACGUGUAGCGGUGAAAUGCGUAGAGAUGUGGAGGAACACCAGUGGCGAAGGCGGCUCUUUGGUCUGUAACUGACGCUGAGGCGCGAAAGCGUGGGGAGCAAACAGGAUUAGAUACCCUGGUAGUCCACGCCGUAAACGAUGAGUGCUAAGUGUUGGAGGGUUUCCGCCCUUCAGUGCUGCAGCUAACGCAUUAAGCACUC